RNAcentral lists this ribosomal RNA (434 nucleotides) under uncultured bacterium. RNAcentral's name for it is "bacterial SSU rRNA". It matches the Rfam family "Bacterial small subunit ribosomal RNA", at positions 355 to 804 of the family's 1533-position model. The record is from RNAcentral.
UCGGGAAUUUUGGGCAAUGGGCGAAAGCCUGACCCAGCAACGCCGCGUGAAGGAUGAAGUAUUUCGGUAUGUAAACUUCGAAAGAAUAGGAAGAAUAAAUGACGGUACUAUUUAUAAGGUCCGGCUAACUACGUGCCAGCAGCCGCGGUAAUACGUAGGGACCAAGCGUUGUUCGGAUUUACUGGGCGUAAAGGGCGCGUAGGCGGCAAUUCAAGUCAUCUGUGAAAUCUCCGGGCUUAACUCGGAACGGUCAGAUGAUACUGCUUUGCUAGAGUGCAGAAGGGGCAAUCGGAAUUCUUGGUGUAGCGGUGAAAUGCGUAGAUAUCAAGAGGAACACCUGAGGUGAAGACGGGUUGCUGGGCUGACACUGACGCUGAGGCGCGAAAGCCAGGGGAGCAAACGGGAUUAGAUACCCCAGUAGUCCCUGAGCGGGC